UGCAGGGAUGCACGGGGACACCGAGGGGACACCGAGGGGACACCGAGGGGAUGCCAAGGGGAUAUUGCACGGAUGCAUGGAGAUGCCAUGGGGACACCAUGGGGACACUGAGAGGACACCAUGGGGAUGCCAUGGGGAUAUUGCUGGGAUGCACGGGGACACCGAGGGGACACCGAGGCAAUAUUGCAGGGAUGCACGGGGAUGCCAUGGGGACACCAAGGGGAUGCUGUACGGACAUCGUAGGGUUGCAUGGGGACACCAUGGGGACACUGAGGGGAUGCCAUGGGGAUAUUGCAGGGAUGCACGAGGAUGCCAUGGGGACGCCAUGGGGACACUGAGGGGACAUCAAGGGGACACCAUGGGAAUAUGGCAGGGAUGCAUUGGGACACCGAGGGGACACUGAGGGGAUGCCAUAGGGAUAUUGCAGGGAUGCACAGGGACACCAUGGGGACACCAUGGGGACACCGAGGGGAUGCCAGGGGGAUAUUGCAGGGAUACAUUGGGACACCGAGGGGACACCAUGGGGACACUGAGGGGACAUCAAGGGGACACCAGGGGGAUAUUGCAGGGAUGCAUGGAGAUGCCAUGGGGAUAUUGCAGGGAUGCAUGGGGACACCAAGGGGAUACCAUGGGGGCACCGUGGGGAUGCUGUGGGGACAUCACAGGGUUGCACGGGGACACCACGGGGACACCRUGGGGAUGCUGUGUGGAUACGGCAGGGAUGCAAGGGGACACCAAGGGGAUGCCAUGGGGAUGCCGUGGGGACAUGCAGGGACGCUGUGGGGACGCGGGGGGGACGCGGGGGGGCUCACGGGGCGGCAGGGCGACGGGGCGGCUCCAGGGCCCGGCGCCGGCCCCCGUGUAGGGCCGCACGCGGACCGUGACGUUGCGGCUCCCCGGCGGCAGCUCCAGCGUCGCCUCCCGCACCAGCCCCACGUCCAGCACCACCUGCGCGGGGACACGGGGACGCGGGACGUGGCGGGGCGUGCAGGGGGGGCGAGCAAGGGGGCGAGCAAGGGGGCAACGGGGCAAGGAACAGAGCGAGCAUCGGGGCAUGCAAUGGGGUGAGCGAUGGGGCCACAGGGUAAGAAGUGGGGCAAGAAAUGGGGAGAGCAGUGGGGCAUCGGGGUG
RNAcentral lists this long non-coding RNA (1131 nucleotides) under Apteryx haastii (Great spotted kiwi). RNAcentral describes it as "lncRNA (ENSAHAG00000008473.1)". The record is from RNAcentral. Lineage: Eukaryota; Metazoa; Chordata; Aves; Apterygiformes; Apterygidae.